This 433-nucleotide ribosomal RNA is filed under the name uncultured bacterium. RNAcentral describes it as "partial 16S ribosomal RNA". It matches the Rfam family "Bacterial small subunit ribosomal RNA", at positions 29 to 507 of the family's 1533-position model. The record is from RNAcentral.
AACGAACGCUGGCGGCAUGCCUAACACAUGCAAGUCGAACGAGACCUUCGGGUCUAGUGGCGCACGGGUGCGUAACGCGUGGGAACCUGCCCUUAGGUUCGGAAUAACUCCCCGAAAGGGGUGCUAAUACCGGAUAAUGUCUUCGGACCAAAGAUUUAUCGCCUUUGGAUGGGCCCGCGUUGGAUUAGCUAGUUGGUAGGGUAAAAGCCUACCAGGGCGACGAUCCAUAGCUGGUCUGAGAGGAUGAUCAGCCACACUGGGACUGAGACACGGCCCAGACUCCUACGGGAGGCAGCAGUGGGGAAUAUUGGACAAGGGGGGAAGGCCUGAUCCAGCAAGGCCGCGGGAGUGAUGAAGGCCUUAGGGUUGAAAAGCUCUUUUACCCGGGAUGAUAAUGACAGUACCGGGAGAAUAAGCUCCGGCUAACUCCGUG